Molecule: ribosomal RNA, 468 nt
Filed under: uncultured bacterium
Lineage: Bacteria
Description: partial 16S ribosomal RNA
Rfam family: Bacterial small subunit ribosomal RNA
Source: RNAcentral
GAUGAACGCUGGCGGCGUGCUUAACACAUGCAAGUCGAACGGAAAGGCCCUGCUUUGUUGGGGUUCUCGAGUGGCGAACGGGUGAGUAACACGUGAGUAACCUGCCCUUCACUUUGGGAUAACUUCAGGAAACUGGGGCUAAUACCGGAUAGGACCUCCUGUUGGAUGGUGGGGGGGGGAAAGUUUCGGCGGGUGGGGAUGGACCCGCGGCUUAGCAGCUUGUUGGUGGGGUAGUGGUCCACCAAGGCUUAGGCGGGUAGCCGGCCUGUGAGGGUGACCGGCCACAUUGGGACUGAGAUAGGGCCCAGACUCCUACGGGGGACAACAGUGGGAAAUUUUACACAAUGGGCGGGAGCCUGAUACAGCAGCGCCGCGUGCGGGAAGGCGGUCUUCGGGGUAUAAACCGCUUUCGCCUGUGACGAAGCGUGUGUGACGGUAAUGGGAGAAGAAGCACCGGCUAACUACGUG